CGCCCUUAGAGUUUGAUCAUGGCUCAGGACGAACGCUGGCGGCGUGCCUAAUACAUGCAAGUUGAGCGUUGGUACUUGUACCAAGAGCAGCGAACGGGUGAGUAACGCGUGGGGAAUCUGCCUUUGAGCGGGGGACAACAUUUGGAAACGAAUGCUAAUACCGCAUAAAAACUUAACACAAGUUUAAGUUGAAAGAUGAUUGCAUCACUCAAAGAUGAUCCCGCGUUGUAUUAGCUAGUUGGUGAGGUAAGGGCUCACCAAGGCGAUGAUACAUAGCCGACCUGAGAGGGUGAUCGGCCACAUUGGGACUGAGACACGGCCCAAACUCCUACGGGAGGCAGCAGUAGGGAAUCUUCGGCAAUGGACGAAAGUCUGACCGAGCAACGCCGCGUGAGUGAAGAAGGUUUUCGGAUCGUAAAACUCUGUUGGUAGGGAAGAACGUUGGUGAGGAAACUCAUCAAGUGACGGUAACUACCCAGAAAGGGACGGCUAACUACGUGCCAGCAGCCGCGGUAAUACGUAGGUCCCGAGCGUUGUCCGGAUUUAUUGGGCGUAAAGCGAGCGCAGUGGUUUAUUAAGUCUGGUGUAAAAGGCAGUGGCUCAACCAUUGUAUGCAUUGGAAACUGGUAGACUUGAGUGCAGGAGAGGAGAGUGGAAUUCCAUGUGUAGCGGUGAAAUGCGUAGAUAUAUGGAGGAACACUGGUGGCGAAAGCGGCUUC
RNAcentral lists this ribosomal RNA (719 nucleotides) under uncultured Lactococcus sp. RNAcentral's name for it is "bacterial SSU rRNA". It matches the Rfam family "Bacterial small subunit ribosomal RNA", at positions 1 to 728 of the family's 1533-position model. Lineage: Bacteria; Bacillati; Bacillota; Bacilli; Lactobacillales; Streptococcaceae. The record is from RNAcentral.